CUGACUCCGACUCCCAGAGGGGUUCUGAUUCAGUUGACCCGAGCUUCAGAAGUUUUAAUUUUUAACAAGUAGCUCAGGUUCACACCAGAAUUCCACCUGUCUGGCCAACUGGGGAUGUCAGAAGAGGCACAACAGAUUGUGCAUCCAGCUCUGGCUGUGGACCUGUGGUGUCGUGAUGACCUGGGAUCAUCAGAGAGCAGGAGGCCAUUCCCUUUGGUGCCUCUCAUUCCCUGUGUGCUGGCCAGCACAUCAUUAGGCCUGAUGGAAGGCUCUGCCAGGCCCUUCCCCACCGAGGGCCUCAUCAAGUUUCCUUGACAGCUACUACGAAAAGAAAUGAGUGAGUUAUUUUGGUGAAACUAAAUACCUAGUUGGCUAAGCCUAACAGAGAAAUGCUACUGCUGAACCUCAGAGAAGCUUGGGGGCCACCGUGGCCACGUGUGCAGCCUGGAGAACUGAGCCGGACUGAGUUUUGCUGGGAGUGACAGUAAAAUGUAAGUAGAAAAAAAAUCAAGUUAUUGGGGACCUUGCCCACAAGGGCCAUGGAAGGACCCCUCGGGUGAACAGAGCGAACCUUAAGACCCUGUCUCUGGGAGGCAGGUGACACCGAACGCCUUUGAGUCUGGUGUCCUUCGUCUGCUGCAGCCCAGUGUCUAGCCGUCCUGGCUCAGUGAAAUGAGGCAAGUGAAAGAAAAUGCUCAGGAAAGCAUCUGGGCAUCUCAGAGAGAUGGCCCAGGCCCUUGGCCUCAAAGAUUUUGAAUGAAUUCUGAGCCUCUUCUCUUCCACCUCAUCCUGCUCUGGGACAGGCCAUCGAUGCCUAACAGCGCCUGCCGCUCAGGGCCGUGGAUGUGUUGGCCUCGCUGUCACGCCCCAUCUGUGGCUAUCAGGGAACCGUCAGCAUGCUGCCCCGCAGACCCAGUCCACUGACGCAGGUGGCCAUGCUUACGGCCCAAGGGCGUCUUAGGAGAGCAGUUCUGCAGUUGUUUGUUUCCUCCCCCAGGUGUGCAUCAGCAGGGCCUCAGCCGGGGCCGCAAGCCUGGAAGGCCCUUGGCAGUGUCCUCAGUGCACACAGUCAUCUUCCAUCUAGCUGUCCUAAUGUGAGGUGGUGUCUCACUGUAUCCUGCGCCGUUUUGAUGAAGGAACAUCAGGUCAUGCUUCCUCUGCUGAACACCCUCUCAAGAGUAUAAGCCUCGGCCUUCCUGGUGGCCUCCCAAGCCUGAAGGAUUCCCAGUGACCUCUGGCCUCAUCUCUGGAUGAUGCCCUGUCCUUCCCCCAAGCUGUUUCCCAAGCCCAUCUAGCAGCCCCGAUGUCCUUCUGUCUCUGCCUGAUGUCUCCGCUUCACCGGUACUUCAUAUAAGACCUGUGUCUUUGGGAUUUUCCAUAAUCUCUUCUGGUUUGCUGGGGCCUUUUUGUAAGAGGACAGCCUGUUCCAUGGAGAUGUCGUUCAUUUGCUGGGAGCUGCCCUGAAGGAAGGAAUCAGGAGGGAAUAACCGAUACAGAUUUGUAGGCGUGACUUUAUUUUGUAACAGGGAUUUUAGAGUUUAUAGCAGGAAGAAAGCAAAGGUGAGUCCAGGGCUCUUGUUGCCUGGGUAAAGAGAAAUUGAGCUCGGGCUUCCAGAGUAAGAAGGAAGUGUUAAGCGAGUGACCAGCAUGUCUCCUUUGGAGAACCUCUGGGAGCAGCCUGGGGGAGAGGGAGCCAGGCCUACAAAAUGUCUCGAAACUGCCUCUGGGGAAGCCAAAUCUAGGGCUCACCCUCCAGGAAAGAAGAAAAUUUUGGAUGAGCAGAAACAAAGUCUUCCUGGAAUUUAAACGUGGACCCUGCAUUUCUCUAAUCGCUUUGCGUAAAGGAAUAUUUUGUUGCUUUGGAAAAGAAGCAGAAACUUGUUUAAAUGUGUGUUUUCUUUUAAUUAAUUAUGUUUUUCUAAACACUAAAGCAUCAUGACUUUGUGUUCCCUCCUCCCCACUUCCCCUCUCUUCUCUCAGCCCUUUUCCCCUUCUCCCUGCUCCCUCCCCCUAGAAAGCAUAGACUGGGGCUGAACUAGUUCAUGGAGACCAGCCUUCACGCAGGGGAGUCUGUGGGACAAAGGGUCUUCUGCAAUCAUGCUGUUUUAGGAAGAUUAGGAAAAAUGAAUAACUUCCUUGGAAAAAUUGGUUUGGAGGAUUGUUUUCUUCGUUAGACCUCUGGAAAAAAUUCAGUGAUAUUGCAUGAAGGGAAAAGAAUUAAUACAGCUCUUCCUCCCCUUUUCUUUAUUUUUAUAUCCAGGAGUCACUGGAAAAAUCAGACCUUUUCCCAUAUCACAGACCCAGCAGCAGUUUGGGCGUGCUCUUGCCUGUAUAUAGAAAGCAUGUCAAGACCGAUUAAAUUAUCUAAUUAAAAUAAUGACCACAGAGAGCCUGUUUAUUUUGGCCUGAAGAAGGUCAGCUCCAAGGGCCCCUUCUGUCCUGCUGAGGGUCCCUCCUCAGCCACAAGCACACACAAGACCCAUGAUGACCUGGCUCCUAAUAACCUGCUCCCAGACACGUCAGAGUGGGACUCAUGCCACCAGUGGGGACAGGACUCAUGCCAGCUGGGACAAAAGACCAAUCUUUAAGACUCUAGACGUCCGUCUGUCUUUGUAUCUGUAUCUGUAUCGGUAUGGGUAUCUGCGCUGAUACUGUACUUUGUAUCAGUCUCUGUAUCGAAGCAGAACUUUGUAUCAGUCUCUGUUCACCACAGCAACUUGAAGUGUGAGAAGUUCUGGUAAGGGUUAUUUUUCAUCUAUACAAACAUGGACAAUUGUUUGACUCAGCUGACUGUAGUCUUGGGUCCUUUUUGCAUCGUGAAGAUAAAACCUCCACAGAGCAUGUUGACCGGUAACAAGUGAAAAAAAAACGCUGCCAGAUAUUUUUCUUGGUGGUGUUUACACAGGGCUAGGUAAUUGUUUGGACUAAUUUGUUGUGAGAUUGUUGGGCUGUCUUGACAAUGUGCAGCUCAGCCUGAAGGGCACAUUCCCGGGACCCUGUGCCACCGUGAGGAUGCAGAGUAUUAAUGAGGGCUCAUUCCAUCAGGCUAGAUCAGGGUUCUUUGGCCUGCGGUAAGAUUUGGGGGCAGAAUGUAAAUAUGCUGCACAUGGUUUAAUUUCAGGGAAGCCCGGGAGGAAUGCACUGAGCCUGUCAUCACUGCAAGCCCAGCGCAGGGUGUCAGCCCUGUGCAGGGUGUAGAAAUGUUUCUAUGGGCUUCAGAGACUUGCUGUUUGGUCUUGCAGUGAUUGAACAAAGUGCUCCCUUUUCGGGUGGUUGGUUCAAUAUCCUGUAAGUCCUUAGAAUGGAGGCCACAGCCUUGGAAAGCCAGAAUGUAAAGCCUCAUUCUUACUUUCUCCCACGGUCCCAGGAGAUGACAGUUGGAUGAGCACUCUGCAGAGGGGCGCAGGGAGGCAGCCGUUUAUUCAAGGGAAGGGGAAAUGUUGCAGCAACAGGAAAGGGAUUAUUGCAUGCAGAAUGUGAAUUUGAAGUCCUUCAGGAUUCUGAUCAACAGCAAGAACUUUAAUGAAUGCAUUCAUUACUAUUUCUUAGCAUGUACUAGGGCUUGGGCUACAGAGUAAAGCGGGAAAAUGGACCUAUGCAUUUUACUGAGAUUUCAGCAUUGACAGUAGAAUUGUUCUGGUGAAUACUGAACUUAGAAGAAGGUCCAACUAAGCAGAUGUGGAAUUUUGCAGGCAUUUCCCAGGAUAAAGUGACAUAUUCCUCUCCCUCCUGGUGAAGCUUCAGCUCCAUUAAUCAUGACCACUUGGACACUUCAAUGAACUCAUGGAAACAGUCACUGCCAUGCUCUGAGGAGGUCUAUUGAUUUCUAGGUGCCUUUGCAAUUCAUGACCGAGAUCAGAAAGUUUUCAGCCAUCUGCACAGAUUCUAUUCAUCCCUCUGUGUGUGUGUGUCACAUGCGUGCGCAGAAGAAAGGCUUGCCAAGUUUAUCAGCCGGAGUCUUUACAGAUCACGUGAAAGUCUUGUUUUCUUUUUAAGGAGAAGCCUCUGGUGUCUGAUGCCUUUGAUCUGGGCAAGAGACAGCCUUGCCUUUGUGUACAGUGGAGGGACGAGGCACAGGAGGCCAGAGGGCAGGUUCUGCGAUGUUGGGACAUAAGAUGCAGCUGUGGUGGUCUUUGAACUGUGCAUGCAGUAACAGGAAGACUGUGGACACAGGUCUCCUUUGCAGAAUUUUAGAAAUAGGCAGACUCUGCUCUUCCUCUAAGAGUCACAUUGCUGUAAGGCAGAGGAAUAAAACCACUUUCGGCAGCUCCUGAUGGGACACAGCCAUGGCCACAGAGCAAGGUGAUGAACGAGGCAGAAGAGCCCAGCUGAAGCCCUAGUGCCAUCCAUCUACCACUGCAAGCACGUUGACCUUUGACAGCUGGCUUUAUCUCUACUGCACAGUGAAGGAUCAUAUUACAGAAAUAGCAAUG
Long non-coding RNA from Chlorocebus sabaeus (green monkey), 4433 nucleotides. Lineage: Eukaryota; Metazoa; Chordata; Mammalia; Primates; Cercopithecidae. The record is from Ensembl.